This is a long non-coding RNA of Vicia villosa (hairy vetch), 516 nucleotides long. RefSeq lists it as uncharacterized. The record is from RefSeq and is a predicted model, not a curated record. Lineage: Eukaryota; Viridiplantae; Streptophyta; Magnoliopsida; Fabales; Fabaceae. The transcript has 4 exons.
GUUUCUGAAAAACUCUUGAAUCUGGAUUCCACCUCUCUCAAUCGAUACUUCAUAUUCAACCCUCAUUCCAUCAUCUCUCUCAAUCGGACACUCUCUCUCAUUUCUGCAGUAGCGCCGUCGCGAGCCACUUCGUCCCAACGUCAUCAAAUCUCCUCCUCCGUCACCGAAACGGUUCUGAGUCACCCAUUCCACCGUUCUUCUUCGAUUCCACGGUGGAGAUUGUGAGCAUUAUCUUGAAUAGCUGUUGUUGCUGAAAAAUUGUUUGGUUGAACUAUGGCUGAAGAAAUUGCUGGGUAGACAAAACUAGAAUAUCUUUGUUAGGGGUUACUUGUGAAGAGUGAAGUUCGAUUCGUUUUCAAGAAUCUUACAGUGUGUGUUUCCAGAAGUUGCUGACUUUCUCUACAGGAUAUUGAAGGGUAAAAAGGUUACAGUUGCUGGCAAGAAGAAAAAGUAGAUAUUUAGCAUCCUUUUGACUUGUGUAAAAAAUAACAAUGUUUUGGAUGAUGCAAUUGUUUU